GACGAACGCUGGCGGCGUGCUUAACACAUGCAAGUCGAACGAUGAAGCUAGAGCUUGCUCUGGUGAAUUAGUGGCGAACGGGUGAGUAACACGUGAGUAACCUGCCCCGAACUCUGGGAUAACUGCUGGAAACGGUAGCUAAUACUGGAUACGACCUACGAAGGCAUCUUCUGUAGGUGGAAAGAAUUUCGGUUCGGGAUGGACUCGCGGCCUAUCAGCUUGUUGGUGAGGUAAUGGCUCACCAAGGCGACGACGGGUAGCCGGCCUGAGAGGGUGACCGGCCACACUGGGACUGAGACACGGCCCAGACUCCUACGGGAGGCAGCAGUGGGGAAUAUUGCACAAUGGGCGCAAGCCUGAUGCAGCAACGCCGCAUGAGGGACGACGGCCUUCGGGUUGUAAACCUCUUUUAGUAGGGAAGAAGCGAAAGUGACGGUACCUGCAGAAAAAGCACCGGCUAACUACGUGCCAGCCGCCGCCGUAA
RNAcentral lists this ribosomal RNA (484 nucleotides) under uncultured bacterium. RNAcentral describes it as "partial 16S ribosomal RNA". It matches the Rfam family "Bacterial small subunit ribosomal RNA", at positions 28 to 523 of the family's 1533-position model. The record is from RNAcentral.